RNAcentral lists this ribosomal RNA (473 nucleotides) under uncultured bacterium. RNAcentral describes it as "partial 16S ribosomal RNA". It matches the Rfam family "Bacterial small subunit ribosomal RNA", at positions 28 to 507 of the family's 1533-position model. The record is from RNAcentral.
GGUGAACGCUGGCGGCGUGCCUAAGACAUGCAAGUCGAGCGGGCCGCGGGGUUUUACUCCGUGGUCAGCGGCGGACGGGUGAGUAACGCGUGGGUGACCUACCCGGAAGAGGGGGACAACCCGGGGAAACUCGGGCUAAUCCCCCAUGUGGACCCGCCCCUUGGGGUGUGUCCAAAGGGCUUUGCCCGCUUCCGGAUGGGCCCGCGUCCCAUCAGCUAGUUGGUGGGGUAAUGGCCCACCAAGGCGACGACGGGUAGCCGGCCUGAGAGGGUGGCCGGCCAGAGGGGCACUGAGACACGGGCCCCACUCCUACGGGAGGCAGCAGUUAGGAAUCUUCCGCAAUGGGCGAAAGCCUGACGGAGCGACGCCGCUUGGAGGAAGAAGCACUUCGGGGUGUAAACUCCUGAACCCGGGACGAAACCCCCGACGAGGGGACUGACGGUACCGGGGUAAUAGCGCCGGCCAACUCCGUG